RNAcentral lists this ribosomal RNA (504 nucleotides) under uncultured bacterium. RNAcentral describes it as "bacterial SSU rRNA". It matches the Rfam family "Bacterial small subunit ribosomal RNA", at positions 15 to 507 of the family's 1533-position model. The record is from RNAcentral.
GAUCAUGGCUCAGAGUGAACGCUGGCGGCAGGCCAAAUACAUGCAAGUCGAACGGCAGCACAGGCAGAGCUUGCUCUGUGGGUGGCGAGUGGCGGACGGGUGAGGAAUACGUGGGAAUCUGCCCAGUCGUGGGGGAUAACGUAGGGAAACUUACGCUAAUACCGCAUGCGCCCUUCGGGGGAAAGCCGGGGACCUUCGGGCCUGGCGCGAUUGGAUGAGCCCACGUCGGAUUAGCUAGUUGGCGGGGUAAAGGCCCACCAAGGCGACGAUCCGUAGCUGGUCUGAGAGGAUGAUCAGCCACACUGGAACUGAGACACGGUCCAGACUCCUACGGAAGGCAGCAGUAGGGAAUAUUGGACAAUGGGCGCAAGCCUGAUCCAGCCAUGCCGCGUGAGUGAAGAAGGCCCUCGGGUUGUAAAGCUCUUUUGUCCGGAAAGAAAAGCGCCGGGUUAAUACCCUGGUGUCCUGACGGUACCGGAAGAAUAAGCACCGGCUAACUUCGUG